This 982-nucleotide ribosomal RNA is filed under the name Paraphelenchus myceliophthorus. RNAcentral describes it as "partial large subunit ribosomal RNA". It matches the Rfam family "Eukaryotic large subunit ribosomal RNA", at positions 79 to 909 of the family's 3401-position model. Lineage: Eukaryota; Metazoa; Nematoda; Chromadorea; Rhabditida; Aphelenchidae. The record is from RNAcentral.
CAUAGUAACGGCGAGUGAACUGGAAAAAGCCCAGCGCUAAAAUGUGUUGUUCAUGCAACACAAGGUGUAGCGUAUAGAAUUUAUUUUCUUAUGCCGUUUUUGAUUUAAGUCUUCUAUGACUGGGGCUCCAUAGAAGGUUAUAGACCUGUCCAAUCAUUAACGGCUUUGGACGAUAAUUUCUUUGAGUCGGGUUGUUUGGGAACGCAGCCCGAAGUAGGUGGUAAAUUUCAUCUAAGGCUAAAUAUGACCACAAAACCGAUAGCAAACAAGUACCGUGAGGGAAAGUUGCAAAGCACUUUGAAGAGAGAGUUUAAGAGGACGUGAAACCGAUAAGAUCGAAACGGAGAGAGGCAACAAAUAAUGCUUGCAUUCAACUGUUAUUGUGCGCGCUGUUGGAUUUAGUAAUCUCGUUUAGAGUUACUGGUUUUUCUAGUGUGCAAAAUGGCAUUGCAUUUGCAAGUGUAUUGUGCUAAAGCGUGUAAUUCAGUUGUUGAAAAUUUGUUAAGAGGACUUCUUCGGAAGAACCCUUGUCAAAUAGACUGCAGUUUGAGUUGCGCGUAAACAGUUUGGCCUACGAGCAAUAGGGCUGUUGUAGUUGCUGUCAAUGGGGAUCGCUUGCGAUACUUAUUGUCUGGCGGUUGCAAUGAUUUUGUUGUUCUCAAACCGUCUUUAGUAUAAAAGUUGUUCAUCUCUCCGACCCGUCUUGAAACACGGACCAAGGAGUUUAUCGUUUAUGCAAGUCAUUGAGUUUUUAAAACUUAAAGGCGAAAUGAAAGUAAAGAAGCUGCAAAGUUUUUAUAUGUGAUCUUGGCCGUUUGCGGUUAAGAGCAGCAUAUCCCCGUCUUGACCGCUUGCGGUAGGGCGGAGGUAGAGCGUUAGCGAUUAGACCCGAAAGAUGGUGAACUAUGCUUGAACAGGAUGAAGCCAGAGGAAACUCUGGUGGAAGUCCGAAGCGAUUCUGACGUGCAAAUCGAUCGUCUGA